This 271-nucleotide ribosomal RNA is filed under the name uncultured prokaryote. RNAcentral describes it as "partial 16S ribosomal RNA". It matches the Rfam family "Bacterial small subunit ribosomal RNA", at positions 524 to 794 of the family's 1533-position model. The record is from RNAcentral.
UACGUAGGGUACGAGCGUUGUCCGGAAUUAUUGGGCGUAAAGAGCUCGUAGGUGGUUGGUCACGUCUGCUGUGGAAACGCAACGCUUAACGUUGCGCGGGCAGUGGGUACGGGCUGACUAGAGUGCAGUAGGGGAGUCUGGAAUUCCUGGUGUAGCGGUGAAAUGCGCAGAUAUCAGGAGGAACACCGGUGGCGAAGGCGGGACUCUGGGCUGUAACUGACACUGAGGAGCGAAAGCAUGGGGAGCGAACAGGAUUAGAUACCCGGGUAGU